This 253-nucleotide ribosomal RNA is filed under the name uncultured bacterium. RNAcentral's name for it is "partial 16S ribosomal RNA". It matches the Rfam family "Bacterial small subunit ribosomal RNA", at positions 524 to 776 of the family's 1533-position model. The record is from RNAcentral.
UACGAAGGGGGCUAGCGUUGCUCGGAACCACUGGGCGUAAAGCGCACGUAGGCGGACUCUUAAGUCGGUGGUGAAAUCCUGGAGCUCAACUCCAGAACUGCCUUCGAUACUGGGAGUCUUGAGUCCGAGAGAGGUGAGUGGAACUGCGAGUGUAGAGGUGAAAUUCGUAGAUAUUCGCAAGAACACCAGUGGCGAAGGCGGCUCACUGGCUCGGUACUGACGCUGAGGUGCGAAAGCGUGGGGAGCAAACAGG